GACGAACGCUGGCGGCGUGCUUAACACAUGCAAGUCGAACGGAAAGGCCCUGCUUUUGUGGGGUGCUCGAGUGGCGAACGGGUGAGUAACACGUGAGUAACCUGCCCUUGACUUUGGGAUAACUUCAGGAAACUGGGGCUAAUACCGGAUAGGAGCUCCUGCUGCAUGGUGGGGGUUGGAAAGUAUCGGCGGUUGGGGAUGGACUCGCGGCUUAUCAGCUGGUUGGUGGGGUAGUGGCUUACCCAGGCUUUGACGGGUAGCCGGCAUGAGAGGGUGAACGGCCACAUUAGGACUGAGAUACGGACCAGACUCGUACGGGAGGCAGCAGUGGGAAAUAUGGCACAAUGGGCGGAAGCCUGAUGCAGCAACGCCGCGUGCGUGAUGACGGCCUUCGUGUUGUAAACCGCUUUCGCCUGUGACGAAGCGGGAGUGACGGUAAUGGGUAAAGAAGCACCGGCUAACUACGUG
RNAcentral lists this ribosomal RNA (468 nucleotides) under uncultured bacterium. RNAcentral describes it as "partial 16S ribosomal RNA". It matches the Rfam family "Bacterial small subunit ribosomal RNA", at positions 28 to 507 of the family's 1533-position model. The record is from RNAcentral.